AAGUCGUAACAAGGUUUCCGUAGGUGAACCUGCGGAAGGAUCAUUAACACGUUAUCCAUACGUAAACCAACGAGAACUGUUUUCACCCUCCCUUGACGGAGAAUGAGCGGAAAUCGUAGAGGUGUUGAAAGGGAUUGUUUAAUCGUCAGCCUCUACUUUCUAUCUUUGUAAAAUAGAAAUAUUUUGCAUUAACGCUGUAUCUUUUGUUGAGGUUAUUCUGCACAGACUUCUCCUUUCAUUGAAGCGCUGCUGUGAGAAACUUAUUUAACCUAUUUCACCUUUUUUGCUAGUUGACUUUUAUAUGUUGUUCUUUGCGUUUCGGCGUAAGGUUCACACGUUUAAUUAUUUGAACGUUAAAUUUACAACUCUUAGCAAUGGAUAUCUUGGUUCUC
This 392-nucleotide unclassified non-coding RNA is filed under the name fungal sp. RNAcentral's name for it is "partial internal transcribed spacer region". The stretch from base 1 to 46 matches the Rfam family "Eukaryotic small subunit ribosomal RNA", at positions 1786 to 1831 of the family's 1831-position model. Lineage: Eukaryota; Fungi. The record is from RNAcentral.